RNAcentral lists this long non-coding RNA (1156 nucleotides) under Nicotiana tabacum (common tobacco). Its description in RNAcentral is "long non-coding RNA (NTAB_LNC005543)". The record is from RNAcentral. Lineage: Eukaryota; Viridiplantae; Streptophyta; Magnoliopsida; Solanales; Solanaceae.
CUAGACUACCAAUACCUAAAACCCUAGACCAUAAGAACCUGCCGCCGUCGCAACACCACCCCCACCACCAAGCAACAGCCGCCGCAUCUCCCUUUCCCACCAUCUCCUAUGCCAAAAAACCACCCUCUCCAAUACUAGACCCCUCGUCUCACCUUCUUCUUCUUCUUCACCAAACACAAACCCUAGGAACACAUCUCGGAACACAGCCACUGCCCGCCAGCUAGCCUCCCACGUAGCAGUGCCAUUCUUCUUGCUUCAUCUCCAACCUCUCCAACACCAACCAUCCGCAACCUGACUCGCCGCAAACCAACCUUGCCUCCCUUCAUGAUUUCUUCUCAAAGCCUUCCGAUUUUCUGUCAUACAGCUCACACGCACACGCAGUCACAUAUAGGAAGGAAAAUGGCUUCUGUUGCUGAUUUCUAAGGUAAAGAAAAAAUGAAAAUGGUAGCUUCUUCUCCACUUAGCCACCUCUUCUGCCUCCAACACUGAUAGUACUUUUGUACAACUCCGGUUCUUGAGUUGCCGGAAGAUUUCACAUCAGCCAGAGUUUGAUUUGAAUAGACUGAUAUUCGUUGGAGUUUGUUUGAGGUUUCGUUCAGAUUUUUGUUCGUGUUUGAAUUCUCGUUGUCGUCGAGGUUUUUUCGGUCCGGGUUUCUAUUUAUACAGCAUCGCUAUAACUGACAAAUCUAUUUGAGGUCUUUUUCCCACCCCUUUCUUUAAUUAAUGCAUGAUGUUUUGGUGUUCUGUUUAGUUCUUUUAGUUUGAAUGACUUUGUAUUUCCAGUGAGUUUGUCAUAGCUCUUAAAACUAAUUCUCCAUGUUUACCUUUGAAAUGUUCUUACUGGACAUUAGUACAUUAGAGUGAAUGAUGAAUUUGGAAUUAAGACACAAGAUGCCUAAGAUAAUUCAUGGUUCAUGUGCCGAUUCAGAAAUGGACUAAGGCAAAAACAGUGAUUUGGUUUAAAAAUGACAUUAAAGUGAAUAUUGGAAUGGCUCUAUGGGCUUUACAUCUGAUGUGCUUGCCGUUUAAGUUUUGAAUUAUUUAUUUUUACCAUGUCAUUUUAUUCAACUGAGUCGUAUUGAAUUACUAUUUUUUUUUACGCUUUUGCUAGGAGCAUGUUUAGGCCGACCACACUUGGGUAGGCAAACCUUAGGAU